AGUGAACGCUGGCGGUAUGCCUAACACAUGCAAGUCGAACGGCAGCACAGUAAGAGCUUGCUCUUACGGGUGGCGAGUGGCGGACGGGUGAGGAAUACAUCGGAAUCUACUUUUUCGUGGGGGAUAACGUAGGGAAACUUACGCUAAUACCUCAUACGACCUACGGGUGAAAGCAGGGGAUCUUCGGACCUUGUGCGAUUGAAUGAGCCGAUGUCGGAUUAGCUAGUUGGCGGGGUAAAGGCCCACCAAGGCGACGAUCCGUAGCGGGUCUGAGAGGAUGAUCAGCCACACUGGAACUGGGACACGGUCCAGACUCCUACGGGAGGCAGCAGUGGGGAAUAUUGGACAAUGGGCGCAAGCCUGAUCCAGCCAUACCGCGGGGGUGAAGGAGGCCUUCGGGUUGUAAAGGCCUUUUGUUGGGAAAGAAAAGCAGCAGGUUAAUACCCCGCUGUUCUGACGUUACCCAAAGAAUAAGCACCGGCUAACUUCGUG
This 492-nucleotide ribosomal RNA is filed under the name uncultured bacterium. RNAcentral describes it as "partial 16S ribosomal RNA". It matches the Rfam family "Bacterial small subunit ribosomal RNA", at positions 29 to 507 of the family's 1533-position model. The record is from RNAcentral.